UCGAGAAUAUUGGGCAAUGGGCGAAAGCCUGACCCAGCGACGCCGCGUGCAUGAAGAAGGCCUUCGGGUCGUAAAGUGCUUUUUUUCGGGACGAAUCAAUGACGGUACCGAAAGAAUAAGAGGUUGCUAACUCUGUGCCAGCAGCAGCGGUAAUACAGAGACCUCAAGCGUUAUCCGGAUUUACUGGGCGUAAAGGGUCCGCAGGUGGUUUGGGAAGUCAUUUGUUAAAUUCCAGAGCUUAACUCUGGAGCCGCAGAUGAUACUCUCAGACUAGAGGCUGGGAGAGGUAUACGGAACUACUAGUGUAGCGGUAAAAUGCGUUAAUAUUAGUAGGAACACCAAAGGCGAAGGCAGUAUACUGGAACAGUCCUGACACUCAGGGACGAAAGCGUGGGGAGCG
This 400-nucleotide ribosomal RNA is filed under the name uncultured bacterium. Its description in RNAcentral is "bacterial SSU rRNA". It matches the Rfam family "Bacterial small subunit ribosomal RNA", at positions 355 to 770 of the family's 1533-position model. The record is from RNAcentral.